CAGGGCACUGAUUCCAGGCCCUUGACCCCCAGAUCCUCCUGCUUCAAAUCCUCAGGCCCUUGCCCCAGGCCUCAAGGAGAUUCCACACAGCUGCCUAGACAGAGUUGGCUCUGAAAGGUGCUGAGAUCCCAAGCACGGGAGCACCUGACCUGGAGUCAUCUCCAUCUGAUUUGUAAAACGCUCUCUCCCCAGAUACCCGGCUCUUUGCACCCAGCAUCAAGGCCCGGUUCCCAGCAGAGACCUAUGCACUGGUGGGGCAGCAGGUCACCCUGGAGUGCUUCGCCUUUGGGAACCCUGUCCCCCGGAUCAAGUGGCGCAAAGUGGACGGCUCCCUGUCCCCGCAGUGGACCACAGCUGAGCCCACCCUGCAGAUCCCCAGCGUCAGCUUUGAGGAUGAGGGCACCUACGAGUGUGAAGCGGAGAACUCCAAGGGCCGAGACACCGUGCAGGGUCGCAUCAUAGUGCAGGCUCAGCCUGAGUGGCUAAAAGUGAUCUCGGACACAGAGGCUGACAUUGGCUCCAACCUGCGUUGGGGCUGUGCAGCUGCCGGCAAACCCCGGCCUACAGUGCGCUGGCUGCGGAACGGGGAGCCUCUGGCCUCCCAGAACCGGGUGGAGGUGUUGGCCGGGGACCUGCGGUUCUCCAAGCUGAGCCUGGAGGACUCGGGCAUGUACCAGUGUGUGGCAGAGAAUAAGCACGGUACCAUCUACGCCAGUGCCGAGCUAGCCGUGCAAGGUAAGGGGCCCAGGGAGGCAGGGGACAUCCCAAGGACAUGCAUAUGGUGCCUUUCAGAGCUCUGAGUUUAGAUGUUUCCAAACACACACGCACAUACCCUGUGGCAAUUUUCCUUGGUUUUCCAACAGUUUCUAAGUAGGAGAACUCAGAGAUUUAAGAAAGGAGAUGAGACACAGGGUUGACAGCUGCCAGAGGGCAGGGUCUCUGACUUGUCCUAUGUCUGGCACACAGUAAAUGUUUGCUGCAGUGAGUGAAAAAAACAGAAACCAAAUCAAUCAGAUCUGUGUAACCCAACCCUUUCAGCUAUGUGAGCUUUGGCAAGUUACUUAGUGUUUCUGUGUUUCAGUUUCUUGAUUAUAAAAUAUAGGCAAUAAUAGUCCUGCCCUCCUGGGCUGCUGUAUGGAACAAGAAAGAGGUACAGCAUAAAGGGCCUGCCCAUCAUACAGCAGGUGCUCGGGAAAUGUCAGCCAGUGCUAAUAUUUAGUUGUGUGACUUGAGCUCACUGAGCCUCAGUUUCCUCAUCCAUAAAAUGGACACAGUGAUACCCACCACAUCAGGUUUUAGUGAAGCUUUGCUAAGAAGCAUUCAUUCAUUCCUUCAUCCAUUCAACCAAUACUUACUCAACACUUCACAGGGGAUGAAUACAAAAGAUACGGUCUCUGCCUUUAAGUAGCUUACAAUCCAGUAGAAAGGGACAAAUAAACCCCAAAUCAAACAAUUAAAUAAUUUCAGCUAGCCAUCAAAUAUAGUAUAAAGGAAAUCCAGGCAGGGUGCAGUGGCUCAUGCCUGUGUAAUCCCAGCACUUUGGGAGGCAAGGGUGAGUGGAUCGCCUCAAGCUCAGGAGUUCGAGACCAGCCUGGGCGACAUGGUGAAACCCCAUGUCUAUGAAAAAUACAAAAUUUAGCCAGGCAUGGUAGCACACACGUGUAGUCCCAGCUACACAGGAGGCUGAGGCAGGAGAAUCGCUUGAGCCCUGGAGGCAGAGGCUGCAGUUAGCUGAGAUU
Molecule: small RNA, 1739 nt
Filed under: Pongo abelii (Sumatran orangutan)
Lineage: Eukaryota; Metazoa; Chordata; Mammalia; Primates; Hominidae
Description: retained intron
Source: RNAcentral